AACCCUCGAUGUUCUUCCACUCCGUGCUCCGCGCUCACAUAGUCUCUAACAAUUCUUCUGCAUAGCUCUUAACAUUCUCCUGCUUCAUGCUCCGCACUCACAUAGUCUCUAACAAUUCUUCUGUGUAGCUCUCAAUGAUUCUCCCACCCCAUGCUCCGCACUCGCGUAGUUUCUAACAAUUCUUCCACAUAGCCCUCAAUGAUUCUCCUGCCCCACACUUCACACUUGUAUAGUUUCUAACAAUUCUUCCACAUAGCUCUUAACAUUCUUCUGCUCCACACUCCACUGUGGAGUGGCUUCUGAUAUUCUUCCACUCUGAAUUUCUCUCUAUAAGAACCCUCUUCAUAUGACCUUUUCUUCUGAUUUCUUUUCUCUUUCUUUCCUUAAUCAAUUUGUAAUCUGUAAUUAGGAUAGUACCAAAUCGUU
Molecule: small RNA, 426 nt
Filed under: Histoplasma ohiense
Lineage: Eukaryota; Fungi; Ascomycota; Eurotiomycetes; Onygenales; Ajellomycetaceae
Description: hypothetical lncRNA
Source: RNAcentral